Molecule: long non-coding RNA, 616 nt
Organism: Daphnia pulex (common water flea)
Lineage: Eukaryota; Metazoa; Arthropoda; Branchiopoda; Diplostraca; Daphniidae
Exons: 2
Source: RefSeq, a predicted model, not a curated record
CAAUCUCCUCUCCCCCUAUUCCCAUAUUCUCCCAUUCCGUUUCGUCCCGUCGUCAUCAUCUGUCUUGGCUUGACUUGGCUUGGCUUAUUUGGCUCUUCAGUCUUCACGCACGCGUAUUAUCCAACUCUUCUUGUGUAUAUAGUCGUAUAUCUAUGUCAACAUUUUCUCGCUUUUUUGUGCAGCUUGUGUACACCAUCACGAUGCGCGUUCUGUCCGGCAACCGCGAACGCUUAGGGGCCGAGAAAAAAAUGACGAUGAACGCAGCAAUCUCAUCCGUUGCUUGAUGGCGUUCGUUCAACUAGGGUUAUCAUGGUGGUGGUUUAUGUGUUUAGAUCUGAUUACCUCGGCUCCCAGCGCGCUCAUCUCGCAAUGUUCCCGUUGUCGUCGAUUCUCGGUGGCCGAUAUUUUUGUAACCCGCACUCUAUUUUUGUUUUGUGCUUGUUUUCUUUUUUUUUCUUUUUUUGUGUAGUAUAUUUAUUUAUUCAUUUUCGUUUUAGGUUUAAUAUUUUAAUAUUCCGUUUUUUUUUAUUAUUAUGUCUGAGUGUCUGUACAACAGUGUGUCUGUGUUCAUUUAGGUUUUGCGUUUCAAAUGCAAAAUGAAGAAAUUGAUGCCUUA